AUUGUCUACAUCAAUGUCUCACGUCCAUGGUCUGGUCAGCAUUAUUCAAAGCCCUCGUGUUCCGUUUGGCUUUAAUUAAAUCAUUUUUGCACCGUUAUCUGCUUCGCCUCAAUUUCCCUGCGCUUGGGUCCACCUUGCCCGCCCGCACUCCCUGACACUGUCAGUGUUGAAAAAAACAGAAAACCUGAUGUUGUCCAGUAGGAUAUAUGACUCUAAAUAACAGCCAAAAACUAAGUCAAUGGUAAAUGACGACAAAAUCAAAUGUUGUGUGUUGUGAUCAACGAUGAUUGCAGUGCUCUAUUAGUGAAACAGCAUUCAUCCCUUUCAACAACUUGUGGUGUACGAGGCCGCUCUGCUGAGGCAUGUUUCCACAUCUUCUAAAACUGGCCCAGACGAUCCAUUUUGAACGGCUGUAAACGAUAUGAUGAAUGAUUCCAAAUGAUUCAACAGCAGGGAGGGCGAUCAGCAGCAGUUAUUGCACUCCAAGGCCUCUCUGAAUAAUGACUCACUCAGUGCAUUGAACACAGACUGUGCUGUGCUGUGCUGAAAAGAAGCUAUUGACCAGCAUGGAUCAGGCUGUGAGCCUGACUCUGAGUCCACUGAUUGCAGCUGCAGUAUUAUUGAGUCGAGAGGAGCAGCUUUGUUAUUGAAUUCAUUUCAAACACUAGAAGUGGCCCCAAGGGUGUCAUUACCCAGGAAUUCUCCAAGAACGCCUGUCAUUUUUUGGUGCUGUAUCAAUAUGCGCUCUCUGUGCAUUCCCUGAAAUUUGUGCUGCUCUGAUAAUAAAAUUAAAAGUAAGACGUAAAAUGCAAAUAAAAUAUAUAUUUUUUUGCUCUAAGGGAGCACUAACACCCUAACAAUAAUGGUACAACAGUGUGAAAGCACUAUGUAAAAGCCAGUUUUAGGAUUAAAGCAAGUUAACUACAAGCUCAUUUGAGUAAAACAUUUUCAGUGGCUUCAUAAAGCUUUCAAGAGUCUUGGGCCCCGAAAUAAGAG
Molecule: long non-coding RNA, 996 nt
Organism: Corythoichthys intestinalis (scribbled pipefish)
Lineage: Eukaryota; Metazoa; Chordata; Actinopteri; Syngnathiformes; Syngnathidae
Exons: 3
Source: RefSeq, a predicted model, not a curated record